GCCAGAUGUGGUGGUGCGUGCCUGUAGUCCCAGCUACUUGGGAGGCUGAGGUGGGAGGAUCACUUGAGCCUAGGAGUUUGAGGUUGCAGUGAGCCAUAACAUGCCACUGCAAUCUAGCCUGGGCGACAGAGCGAGACCUUCUCUCUC
This is an unclassified non-coding RNA of Pongo abelii (Sumatran orangutan), 147 nucleotides long. It matches the Rfam family "Metazoan signal recognition particle RNA". Rfam says of the family: The signal recognition particle (SRP) is a universally conserved ribonucleoprotein. The record is from Ensembl. Lineage: Eukaryota; Metazoa; Chordata; Mammalia; Primates; Hominidae.